Long non-coding RNA from Lycium ferocissimum, 251 nucleotides. RefSeq lists it as uncharacterized. The transcript is spliced from 2 exons. The record is from RefSeq and is a predicted model, not a curated record. NCBI's taxonomy places the organism in Eukaryota, Viridiplantae, Streptophyta, Magnoliopsida, Solanales, Solanaceae.
CAAUCUAUCUCUGCAGGAGAAUGUUGCAUUGAAGAUUUGGUAGCACUUAAUUUUGUUUGCUCCGUGCUACUAUAGAGCCUUGUAGUAUUGUUUCCGAAAAUAGUAGAGGUGCGACAACGCUGUGGGAGUGAGUGAAAACUUACUUUCUGUCUGGGAUGACACUCCCUGGCUCUAUGUUACCGACUUGCUUGUUGCCUAUGUUGCUAUGGCUCCUAUAUUUACUCAAUGGAUAUAAUCUGGUCAUGGUAAAA